AUCACAUUUAUGAUCACAAGUAUACUAUUUAUUUAACCAUGCUAUCAGCAUAUGACAAAGAAGACCAUUUAUAGGAAAUUCAAAGCAGAGAAAACAUGAAGUUCACUAUUCAUAUGAUGGUAUUAUCUUCAUCUCUCUGAGUUUCUCCACCCAAAAUCUGAUACUCUUAAAGGUAUCAACAUGACCAAAAAAUCCAUAUUCUCUACUCUUGUUCAUGCUAGAUACAUGUUGAAACUUAAAACUUAGCACCGGUUCGAGGGCGUCAUAGCAGCUUAUUUCCUCCAAUACGGUAUUCUGAAGCUCGAAUUUUUCCACAAUCUCCUUCCAAACGCUACCCUUAUCACGCAUCAGCUCUACCAAAUCAAACCUUUGCGUUUCGUCAAACGCCACAAACUCCACAUCGAAAACUUCACACAGCAACUUCCAGAUGCUCUUCCACGUGAAAACGUCGCCGUUUGUGCAAUUGAAUGCCUCGUUUUUAGCUUCUGGGGAAACCGCAGCCCACACGUGCUGCUGCGCCAACACUCCGGCAUCGGUCAUGUCACAGAAAUGCUCCCACGUGUACUUCGUUCCCGGGUACCGAAACGCCAAUCCCACGUGGCGACAAAUCGCAGCGUAGGUUGCUAGCGUGAGCAGCGCGUUGUGUGUACUCCUGGACGACGCGCCUAUUAUAAUAGAGGAGCGGUGCACUGAGUACGUCAACGACGGCGUGUAGGAUGCAACAAGAUCUUCUAGCGCGUAGUAGAAGUUGGGGUAAGGGAGCCGCGCCAUGUUUUCGCGAAAGGGCGAGUCGUGGGAGAUGAGUUGGGUGGAAUGGACCGGAUCGAAAAUUGGGCCCAUGUAGUGUUUGGUGCCUGUUUGGACCGUCACGUGGGCAAGCUUUGAAGAGGCGCAAGAUUUGAGGGCGCUGAGAACGUUGAAGAGCAUGGUUUUGUUGAUUCUUAUGUUGACUUCUUCAUCUGCACGAAUCUGAAAGGUAAUCCAGAACAGGUGCGUGACUUCACUCGCAACGGGUGAAAGCUUGGCGCGUGUGUCGGAAGAGUCGACAGCGUCAAAGGUGAUGAAGUGGUCGACUGUGGAAGGAGGGAACCAACUGGGCGGGGGCCUGCGAGCGGCGCCGUAAACUUUCCAUGGGCCUCCGGGACAGUUGGGCUGCUUGAGGGCUUGGGCUAGACUCAGCCCAGCCAUCCCUGUGACACCAGCUACCAGUGCUACAAAAGCUUGGGAUUCCAUCACUGCUGUUCUC
RNAcentral lists this small RNA (1246 nucleotides) under Vigna angularis var. angularis. RNAcentral describes it as "Non-protein coding transcript". Lineage: Eukaryota; Viridiplantae; Streptophyta; Magnoliopsida; Fabales; Fabaceae. The record is from RNAcentral.